This 875-nucleotide long non-coding RNA is filed under the name Ursus maritimus (polar bear). Its description in RNAcentral is "lncRNA (ENSUMAG00000005425.1)". The record is from RNAcentral. Lineage: Eukaryota; Metazoa; Chordata; Mammalia; Carnivora; Ursidae.
GUUAUUGUGGAAAAACACUUUUGGAAUAUCCUUGAAACAUUCAAUCUUGUCGACUCACAAUCUUUUCUAUAGCGUAUUUAGGUCACUAAUGGUAAUUUUGCCAAGAAAAACCCAAUGCAUUUAGUUUAUUUCAUUGUUCUUCUUAUUUUCAAAAUCUUUAUUAAAUUAUUCUUCCUUCUUUCCCCAUUACAGGUCUUGAAAUAUAUGGCCUAUAAAAUCAUUCUCAUUGGGAAAGAAUUACAGACAAGUCAUCAUCCUUUGAGGAUAAGUUCGAUUAAAAGGGCAUCUGGACUACUGCAAUGUUGUGGAUCCUACCGAGAGUGUGAAAUCACUUGACCCUUGGCAUUAACCUUUGCUGAAUGAAUAGACACUGCUUUCCACAUCGAGGAACAAAGCAGAAGACUAUUGAUUAAACACCACAUUCACUUGAUAUUAAAUACUGGCUGAACUCACUUCUUGCUUCCAGUUCCAAAGGGAGAAGCUCAGAGAGUUGCUGAGUCUCGAGAGAAUGGAUGUUUGUAAUUCAGAGCAAUGUUUUUCCUGCAAAGUACUUUUUUUUCUCCUUUGAUCAAUAACUAGCAGCCAUGAUCAGCCAUGAGUAUGUAUUGUCAAUUCUGACCUGUGUAUUUUAUCACUGAAGGUGAGAGGUCACAGUGCUGUGACUAAUAUUUCAGGUCUAAGCAUGAAUUGUUUCCUGACUUCAAUAUCUGUUUGAAAGAGCGAUUUGUUUUAUUUUAUUUCUUGCCUUAUGAAUCAUUGUUUAGGCAAUUGAUUUGUCUGCAUUAGUAAAAUACACAAUUUUUCUAAAAUUCUUGGGUUUUAUCACUGUUUUUGCAGAUGUUUAAUUUUCUAGACCUUAACAUUAGAAGAAAUAG